Non-coding RNA from Pelobates cultripes (western spadefoot toad), 680 nucleotides. The record is from the annotation of a GenBank genome assembly. Lineage: Eukaryota; Metazoa; Chordata; Amphibia; Anura; Pelobatidae.
ACUCACACACACAGCACUCACACACACAGCACUCACACACACACAUCACUCACACAAAGCACUCUCACACACACUGCACCCUCACACACACACACUGCACCCUCACACUCUGCACCCUCACACUCACACACACACACACAGCACUCACACACACUGCACCUUCACACACACACACUGCUCUCACAAACACUCACACACACACAGCACCCUCACACUCAAACAGCAUCCUCACACUCACAGCAUCCACACACUCACACACAGCACCCUCACACAUACAGCCCCCUUAUACACACUGCACCCAUCUCACACACACACUGCACCCUUCACACAUACACACAGCACCCCAACACAUAGAUCCCCUAUGCACACAUAUAUUCCUUGUAGGCAAACACAUACUACAUUCCCUAAACACACACUCUCUACCACCCCUACACACACUACUUCACCCAUACAGACACACUACAGCUCGUAAGCACACAUUAGAUACAUCCCCUAUACACACUAUGUCCCAAAUACAGCAACCAGAUACACAUACAUUACACUGCAAACACCACAUGACUGAAACCAACCUUUUUACACAAUACCACACCACAAUCAGAUCACUCUACACAUACGCAAUCCCACAAGCUAACUCCAAACACAUGCACGAUACUUUUUCCUGGCACUUUUGUCUCCUGGUG